GAUGAACGCUGGCGGCGUGCCUAAUACAUGCAAGUCGAGCGAACAGACGAGGAGCUUGCUCCUCUGACGUUAGCGGCGGACGGGUGAGUAACACGUGGGUAACCUAGCUAUAAGACUGGGAUAACUUCGGGAAACCGGAGCGAAUACCGGAUAAUAUAUUGAACCGCAUGGUUCAAUAGUGAAAGACGGUUUUGCGGUCACUUAUAGAUGGAUCCGCGCCGCAUUAGCUAGUUGGUAAGGUAACGGCUUACCAAGGCAACGAUGCGUAGCCGACCUGAGAGGGUGAUCAGCCACACUGGAACUGAGACACGGUCCAGACUCCUACGGGAGGCAGCAGUAGGGAAUCUUCCGCAAUGGGCGAAAGCCUGACGGAGCCACGCCGCGUGAGUGAUGAAGGUCUUCGGAUCGUAAACCUCUGUUAUUAGGGAAGAACAAAUGUGUACGUAACUAUGCACGUCUUGACGGUACCUAAUCAGAAAGCCCCGGCUAACUACGUG
RNAcentral lists this ribosomal RNA (497 nucleotides) under uncultured bacterium. Its description in RNAcentral is "partial 16S ribosomal RNA". It matches the Rfam family "Bacterial small subunit ribosomal RNA", at positions 28 to 507 of the family's 1533-position model. The record is from RNAcentral.